UUUGACUCCAGUUGAUCUCAGCCUCUGUACAACAUUUAAGUGACUCACAACAUUCAGGACACAUCUACCGUGGACCUUCCUCGGUCACUGGAGGCGAGAAUGUCCCUCCUUGAGAUCCCGGAAGCGAGCAGGCUUCAAGUGAAGGUUGUCCAAGUCUCGUUGAAUUCAAGGAUCCAUUCAGGGAUGCAAUUUGGCAAUCUGCCUUUUUGAUAGCUUUCUGCUGGACUUCAAUGUCUGGGUGCUAAAUUGCCACAUAAAAUAUGUAGUGAGACACCAGCAGGUUCGUGUACCAGACCGCGUUGUCUGUAUGUCAACACGGGGUUACCAUGACGACGAGAUGCCUUCAAAGAUCAUUGUGAAUUUCACUAUCAAAUCUGA
This is a long non-coding RNA of Syngnathus acus (greater pipefish), 378 nucleotides long. RefSeq lists it as uncharacterized. The record is from RefSeq and is a predicted model, not a curated record. NCBI's taxonomy places the organism in Eukaryota, Metazoa, Chordata, Actinopteri, Syngnathiformes, Syngnathidae. The transcript is spliced from 4 exons.